GAUGAACGCUGGCGGCGUGCCUAAUACAUGCAAGUCGAGCGAACAGAUGAGGAGCUUGCUCCUCUGACGUUAGCGGCGGACGGGUGAGUAACACGUGGAUAACCUACCUAUAAGACUGGGAUAACUUCGGGAAACCGGAGCUAAUACCGGAUAAUAUAUUGAACCGCAUGGUUCAAUAGUGAAAGACGGUUUUGCUGUCACUUAUAGAUGGAUCCGCGCCGCAUUAGCUAGUUGGUAAGGUAACGGCUUACCAAGGCAACGAUGCGUAGCCGACCUGAGAGGGUGGUCGGCCACACUGGAACUGGGACACGGUCCAGACUCCUACGGGAGGCAGCAGUAGGGAAUCUUCCGCAAUGGGCGAAAGCCUGACGGAGCAACGCCGCGUGAGUGAUGAAGGUCUUCGGAUCGUAAAACUCUGUUAUUAGGGAAGAACAAAUGUGUAAGUAACUAUGCACGUCUUGACGGUACCUAAUCAGAAAGCCACGGCUAACUACGUG
This 497-nucleotide ribosomal RNA is filed under the name uncultured bacterium. RNAcentral describes it as "partial 16S ribosomal RNA". It matches the Rfam family "Bacterial small subunit ribosomal RNA", at positions 28 to 507 of the family's 1533-position model. The record is from RNAcentral.